CCCCCCCCUCGUGCCCCCCAGGUCUGAUCAUCGACGCGUUCGGGGAGCUGCGGGACCAGCAGGAGCAGGUGAAGGAGGACAUGGAGACGAAGUGCUUCAUCUGCGGCAUCGGCAGUGAUUACUUCGACACGACGCCCCACGGCUUCGAGACCCACACGUUGGAGGAGCACAACCUGGCGAACUACAUGUUCUUCUUGAUGUAUCUGAUCAAUAAGGAUGAGACGGAGCACACGGGGCAGGUGG
RNAcentral lists this long non-coding RNA (243 nucleotides) under Gallus gallus (chicken). The record is from RNAcentral. Lineage: Eukaryota; Metazoa; Chordata; Aves; Galliformes; Phasianidae.